CCUACGGGUGGCAGCAGUCGAGAAUCAUGCACAAUGGGGGAAACCCUGAUGGAGCGACGCCGCGUGGGGGAAUGAAGGUCUCCGGAUUUUAAACCCCGGUCAUGUGGGAGCAAAUUAAAAAGAUAGUACCACAAGAGGAAGAGACGGCUAACUCUGUGCCAGCAGCCGCGGUAAUACAGAGGGCUCAAGCGUUGUUCGGAAUCACUGGGCGUAAAGCGUGCGUAGGCUGUUUCGUAAGUCGUGUGUGAAAGGCGCGGGCUCAACCCGCGGACGGCACAUGAUACUGCGAGACUAGAGUAAUGGAGGGGGAACCGGAAUUCUCGGUGUAGCAGUGAAAUGCGUAGAUAUCGAGAGGAACACUCGUGGCGAAGGCGGGUUCCUGGACAUUAACUGACGCUGAGGCACGAAGGCCAGGGGAGCGAAAGGGAUUAGAUACCCCAGUAGUC
Molecule: ribosomal RNA, 446 nt
Filed under: uncultured bacterium
Lineage: Bacteria
Description: partial 16S ribosomal RNA
Rfam family: Bacterial small subunit ribosomal RNA
Source: RNAcentral